Molecule: unclassified non-coding RNA, 580 nt
Filed under: Hevea brasiliensis (rubber tree)
Lineage: Eukaryota; Viridiplantae; Streptophyta; Magnoliopsida; Malpighiales; Euphorbiaceae
Source: RNAcentral
AAAAAAAAAAAAAGAAGGAAGAAAGAAGAAGAGAUCUUUCAAAAGGGAUUGGGGUUCCAAGGCCUGAACCAUUUACUACCUGAUACUUUAAUUACACAUGGGCCUUCAAAAAAGGGUCCUAGCCGACAACAAAUUGAGAGAUCCAUAACAGUAAGCGCAAAGCUGCAUUUUCGUUGUGUUUUCCAUGAUGAAUUUACUGGUUGAAAGAAUUGAAAACUCAAAUAUAUUUUCCAGAGGAGUUUUGAAAGUCAUAAUUAAUCUAAUUUUAAGCCAUUCACAAUUUGACGAUCACUUGACAAUGAAAAAUUACAUGAGUUUUGGUGUCUGCCAUUUUUUUUUUCCCCUCUUUUCUUCUGUUUCUCCACCUUUCUCUAACAUCACUAGAUAGGCAAGGGGUUGAAUAGGGCACAUCCAUUUGUUUUACCUUUAGUUAAUAAAUUUAUAUCCUUUUUCUACUCUUUCAAUGAAAGGGGGCACUUGAUAUUUUUAUAGAAUUAUAUUUGUAAUCAACAACCCUUUUUUAUAUAUAAUCUGUAAAAUCUUCUCAUAUUCAACCGAGUAAACAGCAGAACUGAGACUG